GAACUGAAGAGUUUGAUCAUGGCUCAGAUUGAACGCUGGCGGCAGGCCUAACACAUGCAAGUCGAGCGGAUGAGUGGAGCUUGCUCCAUGACUCAGCGGCGGACGGGUGAGUAAUGCCUAGGAAUCUGCCUGGUAGUGGGGGGCAACGUUUCGAAAGGAACGCUAAUACCGCAUACGUCCUACGGGAGAAAGUGGGGGAUCUUCGGACCUCACGCUAUCAGAUGAGCCUAGGUCGGAUUAGCUAGUUGGCGAGGUAAAGGCUCACCAAGG
Molecule: ribosomal RNA, 270 nt
Filed under: Stutzerimonas stutzeri
Lineage: Bacteria; Pseudomonadati; Pseudomonadota; Gammaproteobacteria; Pseudomonadales; Pseudomonadaceae
Description: Pseudomonas stutzeri partial 16S ribosomal RNA
Rfam family: Bacterial small subunit ribosomal RNA
Source: RNAcentral